This 253-nucleotide ribosomal RNA is filed under the name uncultured bacterium. Its description in RNAcentral is "partial 16S ribosomal RNA". It matches the Rfam family "Bacterial small subunit ribosomal RNA", at positions 524 to 776 of the family's 1533-position model. The record is from RNAcentral.
UACGAAGGGGGCUAGCGUUGCUCGGAAUUACUGGGCGUAAAGCGCACGUAGGCGGAUUGUUAAGUCGGGGGUGAAAUCCUGGAGCUCAACUCCAGAACUGCCUUCGAUACUGGCGAUCUCGAGUUCGGGAGAGGUGAGUGGAGCUGCGAGUGUAGAGGUGAAAUUCGUAGAUAUUCGCAAGAACACCAGUGGCGAAGGCGGCUCACUGGCCCGAUACUGACGCUGAGGUGCGAAAGCGUGGGGAGCAAACAGG